GAUGAAGAACGUAGCGAAAUGCGAUACGUAAUGUGAAUUGCAGAAUUCAGUGAAUCAUCGAAUCUUUGAACGCACAUUGCGCCUGCCAGCACUCUGGCAGGCAUGCCUGUUCGAGCGUCAUUUCAACCAUCAAGCCCUAGGCUUGCGUUGGAGCCCUGCGGCUGCCGCAGGCCCCUAAAAGCAGUGGCGGGCUCGCUAUCACACCGAGUGCAGUAGAUUACUCUUCGCUCAGGGCGUGUGGCGGGUUCCAGCCGUGAAACCCCCUACUUCUCAAGGUUGACCUCGGAUCAGGUAGGAAUACCCGCUGAACUUAAGCAUUCAAUAAGCGGAGGA
This 333-nucleotide unclassified non-coding RNA is filed under the name soil metagenome. Its description in RNAcentral is "partial contains 5.8S ribosomal RNA, internal transcribed spacer 2, and large subunit ribosomal RNA". The stretch from base 1 to 120 matches the Rfam family "5.8S ribosomal RNA", at positions 35 to 154 of the family's 154-position model. The record is from RNAcentral.